Molecule: ribosomal RNA, 433 nt
Filed under: uncultured bacterium
Lineage: Bacteria
Description: partial 16S ribosomal RNA
Rfam family: Bacterial small subunit ribosomal RNA
Source: RNAcentral
AGCGAACGCUGGCGGCAGGCCUAACACAUGCAAGUCGAACGAACUCUUCGGAGUUAGUGGCGGGCGGGUGAGUAACACGUGGGAACGUGCCUUUUGGUUCGGAAUAACUCAGGGAAACUUGUGCUAAUACCGAAUGUGCCCUUCGGGGGAAAGAUUUAUCGCCAUUAGAGCGGCCCGCGUCUGAUUAGCUAGUUGGUGAGGUAACGGCUCACCAAGGCGACGAUCAGUAGCUGGUCUGAGAGGAUGACCAGCCACACUGGGACUGAGACACAGCCCAGACUCCUACGGGAGGCAGCAGUGGGGAAUCUUGCGCAAUGGGCGAAAGCCUGACGCAGCCAUGCCGCGUGAAUGAUGAAGGUCUUAGGAUUGUAAAAUUCUUUCACCGGGGACGAUAAUGACGGUACCCGGAGAAGAAGCCCCGGCUAACUUCGUG